This 501-nucleotide ribosomal RNA is filed under the name uncultured bacterium. RNAcentral's name for it is "partial 16S ribosomal RNA". It matches the Rfam family "Bacterial small subunit ribosomal RNA", at positions 29 to 523 of the family's 1533-position model. The record is from RNAcentral.
AUUGAACGCUGGCGGCAUGCCUUACACAUGCAAGUCGAACGGCAGCACGGGAGCUUGCUCCUGGUGGCGAGUGGCGAACGGGUGAGUAAUACAUCGGAACGUACCCAGUAGUGGGGGAUAACGCACCGAAAGGUGCGCUAAUACCGCAUACGACCUACGGGUGAAAGCGGGGGACCGUAAGGCCUCGCGCUAUUGGAGCGGCCGAUGUCUGAUUAGCUAGUUGGCGGGGUAAAAGCCCACCAAGGCGACGAUCAGUAGCUGGUCUGAGAGGACGGUCAGCGACACGGGGACAGAGACACGGCCCAGCCUCCUACGGGAGGCAGCAGUGGGGAAUUUUGGACAAUGGGGGCAGCCCUGAUCCAGCAAUGCCGCGUGUGCGAAGAAGGCCUUCGGGUUGUAAAGCACUUUUGUCAGGGAAGAAACACCGGCUCUAACACAGUCCGGGAAUGACGGUACCUGAAGAAUAAGCACCGGCUAACUACGUGCCAGCCGCCGCAGUAA